This 381-nucleotide ribosomal RNA is filed under the name uncultured Desulfobulbus sp. RNAcentral describes it as "bacterial SSU rRNA". It matches the Rfam family "Bacterial small subunit ribosomal RNA", at positions 1006 to 1382 of the family's 1533-position model. The record is from RNAcentral. Lineage: Bacteria; Pseudomonadati; Thermodesulfobacteriota; Desulfobulbia; Desulfobulbales; Desulfobulbaceae.
GGGGGUGGCUUCCAUCUGGAAGGAAUCUGGAGACAGGUGGCUGCAUGGCUGCCGUCAGCUCGUGUCGUGAGAUGUUGGGUUAAGUCCCGCAACGAGCGCAACCCUUGCCUUUAGUUGCCAGCAGUUCGGCUGGGCACUCUAAAGGGACUGCCGGUGUUAAACCGGAGGAAGGUGGGGAUGACGUCAAGUCCUCAUGGCCUUUAUGACCAGGGCUACACACGUACUACAAUGGCCGAUACAAAGGGCAGCGACACUGCGAGGUGAAGCCAAUCCCGUAAAAUCGGUCUCAGUCCGGAUUGGAGUCUGCAACUCGACUCCAUGAAGUUGGAAUCGCUAGUAAUCGUGGAUCAGCAUGCCACGGUGAAUACGUUCCCGGGCCUU